UUUUAUUGAGAGUUUGAUCCUGGCUCAGGACGAACGCUGGCGGUAUGCUUAACACAUGCAAGUCGAACGAGACGAGAUGGAAGUGCUUGCACGGAAAUCUUAGAAAGUGGC
This 111-nucleotide ribosomal RNA is filed under the name Acetobacterium malicum. RNAcentral describes it as "partial 16S ribosomal RNA". It matches the Rfam family "Bacterial small subunit ribosomal RNA", at positions 1 to 99 of the family's 1533-position model. Lineage: Bacteria; Bacillati; Bacillota; Clostridia; Eubacteriales; Eubacteriaceae. The record is from RNAcentral.